CCUCUUCCCUCCUUCCUUCUAGUAAUUCAUCAGGUCUGGCAAAGUGACUGCAGACUCUAAGCAAUUCCCUUCUUGUUGUGUGUUGGGAAUUGUAUUUGAAAGCCCUCUGGCAGCUCAAUUAUCAUGGACAGUUUAGUAGGACCAAAUGUAAUAAGCAGAAAAUCACAGAAGUAACAUUUUACAUCUAUUUCAGACAGUCUGAAUGAUGUCCUGGCCAUGAACUGUAUAUAAUUACAUGUCAAAAUUCCCUGGAUCCACUCCUCAUGUAAUUGUGUAAUUUGCACAAGUAAAAUAGUGAUCUA
RNAcentral lists this long non-coding RNA (302 nucleotides) under Heterocephalus glaber (naked mole-rat). Its description in RNAcentral is "lncRNA (ENSHGLG00100034423.1)". The record is from RNAcentral. Lineage: Eukaryota; Metazoa; Chordata; Mammalia; Rodentia; Bathyergidae.